This 907-nucleotide ribosomal RNA is filed under the name uncultured bacterium. Its description in RNAcentral is "bacterial SSU rRNA". It matches the Rfam family "Bacterial small subunit ribosomal RNA", at positions 16 to 917 of the family's 1533-position model. The record is from RNAcentral.
AUCCUGGCUCAGAUUGAACGCUGGCGGCAGGCCUAACACAUGCAAGUCGAGCGGAUGAAGGGAGCUUGCUCCUGGAUUCAGCGGCGGACGGGUGAGUAAUGCCUAGGAAUCUGCCUGGUAGUGGGGGAUAACGUCCGGAAACGGGCGCUAAUACCGCAUACGUCCUGAGGGAGAAAGUGGGGGAUCUUCGGACCUCACGCUAUCAGAUGAGCCUAGGUCGGAUUAGCUAGUUGGUGGGGUAAAGGCCUACCAAGGCGACGAUCCGUAACUGGUCUGAGAGGAUGAUCAGUCACACUGGAACUGAGACACGGUCCAGACUCCUACGGGAGGCAGCAGUAGGGAAUCUUCCGCAAUGGGCGAAAGCCUGACGGAGCAACGCCGCGUGAGUGAUGAAGGUCUUCGGAUCGUAAAACUCUGUUAUUAGGGAAGAACAUAUGUGUAAGUAACUGUGCACAUCUUGACGGUACCUAAUCAGAAAGCCACGGCUAACUACGUGCCAGCAGCCGCGGUAAUACGUAGGUGGCAAGCGUUAUCCGGAAUUAUUGGGCGUAAAGCGCGCGUAGGCGGUUUUUUAAGUCUGAUGUGAAAGCCCACGGCUCAACCGUGGAGGGUCAUUGGAAACUGGAAAACUUGAGUGCAGAAGAGGAAAGUGGAAUUCCAUGUGUAGCGGUGAAAUGCGCAGAGAUAUGGAGGAACACCAGUGGCGAAGGCGACUUUCUGGUCUGUAACUGACGCUGAUGUGCGAAAGCGUGGGGAUCAAACAGGAUUAGAUACCCUGGUAGUCCACGCCGUAAACGAUGAGUGCUAAGUGUUAGGGGGUUUCCGCCCCUUAGUGCUGCAGCUAACGCAUUAAGCACUCCGCCUGGGGAGUACGACCGCAAGGUUGAAACUCAAAGGAAUUGACGGC